This 492-nucleotide ribosomal RNA is filed under the name uncultured bacterium. RNAcentral's name for it is "partial 16S ribosomal RNA". It matches the Rfam family "Bacterial small subunit ribosomal RNA", at positions 29 to 507 of the family's 1533-position model. The record is from RNAcentral.
AGUGAGCGCUGGCGGUAGGCCUAACACAUGCAAGUCGAACGGCAGCACAGUAAGAGCUUGCUCUUACGGGUGGCGAGUGGCGGACGGGUGAGGAAUACAUCGGAAUCUACUUUUUCGUGGGGGAUAACGUAGGGAAACUUACGCUAAUACCGCAUACGACCUACGGGUGAAAGCAGGGGAUCUUCGGACCUUGCGCGAUUGAAUGAGCCGAUGUCGGAUUAGCUAGUUGGCGGGGUAAAGGCCCACCAAGGCGACGAUCCGUAGCUGGUCUGAGAGGAUGAUCAGCCACACUGGAACUGAGACACGGUCCAGACUCCUACGGGAGGCAGCAGUGGGGAAUAUUGGACAAUGGGCGCAAGCCCGAUCCAGCCAUACCGCGUGGGUGAAGAAGGCCUUCGGGUUGUAAAGCCCUUUUGUUGGGAAAGAAAAGCAGCAGGUUAAUACCCCGCUGUUCUGACGGUACCCAAAGAAUAAGCACCGGCUAACUUCGUG